GCACAACUGGAAAAAGUAGAACUUAGCCAUGAGACACGCUUUAUUAUUAACAAGGAAAUCAAAGAUCAAGCAACAUUGCAGAAGGUGAAGCAGCACCUCAGCAACCAGCAUCACAGUAUGAUAUAUUCAAGUGGUGGAGUGAGAAAGUAGAAAGAGAGAGAAGGGGAGAGAAAGAGGGAGAAAGAGGGAGGAUAGAAGCCAGAAUGA
RNAcentral lists this long non-coding RNA (207 nucleotides) under Coturnix japonica (Japanese quail). RNAcentral's name for it is "lncRNA (ENSCJPG00005011793.1)". The record is from RNAcentral. Lineage: Eukaryota; Metazoa; Chordata; Aves; Galliformes; Phasianidae.